CAAAUACAUUUUACACCAAAAGCUUAUUAUAACUUGUGUACUGUAUAUAUUUAUUAUGCCAUAUUUGCAUGUUCUGAUCGCUAUGCUGCUCAUUAACUGUACAGUAUAUUUACAUGUGUUUACAUAUUGCCAUGUGUAUUUUUUGUUAAUAAGGUGCAACAUUUAAUUAAUAAUCUGUAACCGUAUAGAUAAUCAAUCUGUUUUCAGUUCCAAAUUCUCAGCUGUGAGGGCUCACUGCUUUUCUUUAUCUUAUCUGAUAUUAAAUUGAACAUCUUUCGAUUAUUGAUCAGAGAACAGAAGUGAUGAGAGGAUGUCAUUUUGAACUUUAUGAAACUGCAAUUGUUAUUUUUCACUAUUUUUUAUUUUAUAGACUUAACGAUUGAUUGUGAAAAUAGGAGACUUCUGCCUAACAAAACAAAACCUCUUCCAUAGACUAAGAGAUUAAAAAAUCAAAAAAUAAUUGGCAGAUUAAUCAAUAAUGAAAGUAAUCAUUAGCUGUAGCCUUAAUUACUGGAACUUCUAAAUACAGUAUAUGUGAUGUUUCUAUUUCUUGUACUAAGUGCUCCUUCAUACUUGUUUGAAAUUUUCAUUCUCUGUAGUUUUUUCAAACAUAAAUGAUGGAGAACAAAAAUGAACAGUCCUUGUUCUGUGGAGUCAGCAGUCUGACCACAACAAAUCAAGUGAGUAUUGUCUACAGUCUCUUUAGUACAAUUUUUUCUGUCCAUCGACUUAUCGAUUGAUCGACUAAUCCUGCAAGGCUUUGGACACAGAUUGACCUGUUUAUUUGCACAAAUUCAUUUUUAGAUAUUUAGUGUGUUAUUGUGUUGUUUGCAAAGGACAUCCAGUCAAUACACAACCACUGCUAGGUAUCAUCACACAUACAAUAAACAACGUGACAUAUAAACAUAACAUUACAACGAAUAAAACAAAUGCAGCUAUAGAGAAUUUAUGAUAUAACAUAUAGGCAGAUAUUCUACUUGCUAGUUAAUCACCUCAAUACCGUCGUGAUAACUCAGUUAUUCCGCAACCCCAUUGAUCUGAACGUAUUAAUAUUAAAACUGACUGUUCACUUUAUUCGAGACAUUUUCGCUGACCUUAUUGUUAUUGUUAUUAAUAUGCUAGUGUACUUUUUAUUUAUAAAACCAGCUAACACUUAGCCUAGCUAGUUUGCGGCAUGAACCGCUGUAAACUCCAGAUUAAACGUUUUACUGGCGUGUUUUAUUGUUGUGAAUAACUCUGUUGGUUCGUCUGGUUGGAACCCGUGAAGAUAAUGUGAUAACGGUUAACGUUAGGUGUGUCCGACGUGAAGCUGGUCCGCGCCCACCGAUAGCGGCUAACAACUAACAGCUAACGCUCAAGACGUCCUGUCGGUUAACGAUAAUGAACGUAAUGUGAUGAAUCCACGGAGGUUUCUACACGCAUAGCUAGUAAAGGGCCGUCCUGCGUCGUGUGGACUUGGACUUCUUAGUCUUCAUAUCAUCCAGUGACUCAUAAGUGUUGCCUUGGACAGCAGCAGCAAUGGCAGCAUCUCCAGGGAUCUGCUCGUAGGUGUCAUCAGGUUGACCAGCAGGUGUUGACCUCUGGGGGACCUCAGCAUACAUCCCAUCUCCCUGCUGAGUUGAACUCCCCCCUGGCCCCUCAGAGCGAAGCCUUGAAACCAGUCUGGGAAGUUUCCAUUGUUGAGCAUGAGCGCUGCCUGCGUCUCAGUGAACCACCUCAGAACCAGCUCCUUCAGGCCUCCUUCUGGUGUCUCCAUCUGCAGGUCUACACCCAACUUAUU
Long non-coding RNA from Lates calcarifer (barramundi perch), 1780 nucleotides. RefSeq lists it as uncharacterized. The record is from RefSeq and is a predicted model, not a curated record. The transcript is spliced from 3 exons. Lineage: Eukaryota; Metazoa; Chordata; Actinopteri; Centropomidae.